AGCGAACGCUGGCGGCAGGCCUAACACAUGCGAGUCGAACGAACUCUUCGGAGUUAGUGGCGGACGGGUGAGUAACACGUGGGAACGUGCCUUUUGGUUCGGAAUAACUCAGGGAAACUUGUGCUAAUACCGAAUGCGCCCUUCGGGGGAAAGAUUUAUCGCCAUUAGAGCGGCCCGCGUCUGAUUAGCUAGUUGGUGAGGUAACGGCUCACCAAGGCGACGAUCAGUAGCUGGUCUGAGAGGAUGACCAGCCACACUGGGACUGAGACACGGCCCAGACUCCUACGGGAGGCAGCAGUGGGGAAUCUUGCGCAAUGGGCGAAAGCCUGACGCAGCCAUGCCGCGUGAAUGAUGAAGGUCUUAGGAUUGUAAAAUUCUUUCACCGGGGACGACAAUGACGGUACCCGGAGAAGAAGCCCCGGCUAACUUCGUG
Molecule: ribosomal RNA, 433 nt
Filed under: uncultured bacterium
Lineage: Bacteria
Description: partial 16S ribosomal RNA
Rfam family: Bacterial small subunit ribosomal RNA
Source: RNAcentral